Peromyscus leucopus (white-footed mouse) is the source of this 10643-nucleotide long non-coding RNA. RefSeq lists it as uncharacterized. The transcript is spliced from 3 exons. NCBI's taxonomy places the organism in Eukaryota, Metazoa, Chordata, Mammalia, Rodentia, Cricetidae. The record is from RefSeq and is a predicted model, not a curated record.
GCACUGUGGAGUAAGAGAUAUGCUUCUGGGGACCAGAGCUCUCGCCUUGCUGGUCCAGAGCACGAGGUGUGCAUAUCCAUCUAGACCUGGGAGAAUGGGAUCAUGGCCUGUGAGGGAGCCUUGGGAGAAUAGGCCACAGUCUGUGGAAAACCGGUGAGGCCUGGCACAAUGGGAUUGUAUGAGGAGCUGGGGAGCUGAGGCACUCACAGGUUUCGGCUUGGAUGCUUGGUAGAUGACUAAUUUAAGAGCGUGGGUCAAUGAGGGAGGAUAAAGAUCCAAGACAUUCAAAAGCUGAGCUGGUGUGCAGUCUGCAUGACCCGAGACUCUCUGGGAGUCCCAGGAGAGUAGGGUGACUGUGGCAUGUUGGGCCUGCCCUGCAUGGGCUGUUGCACAGGCAUUGUUCACCACAGAGACAGGAAGUAUGUGCACACUUGCAGAAUGCAAGAGACCUGGGCAGAACCCACGAAGAGCUUGCAUGCAGACUACAAGAUUCCAGCAAGGCCUAGGAGUGUCAUGAAAUGGGUGGGUCCUGUGGUUAUUGGCCCCUGUCAGGCCUGUAUUGGGGUGCAGACUACAGGAACCAGGGUUCUGUGUCAAAGAUCAAGAGAAAUCAUGGGAUCUGGGAGUCUCAGCUCACUGGGUGCUGUGAAACCAACAGAGACCUUGUUUUAUCACAGUGGUUCUCAUCCUGUGGAUAGAGACCCACCAAGGACCAUCUGAAUCACAGAUCUUUGCCUGGCAAUUCAGAACAGUAGAAAAAUAACAAUUACUGGGUCCCAACGACAAUAAUUUUAUGCUUGUUGGUCACCACGACAUGACCACCGGUCUUAAAGGGUCACAGCAUCAGGAAGGUUGAUUCCCAGUGACUUAUGGUUUCCAAGAAGGUGGGAAAGAGUCUGGUCACUCUCCAUGAUUGGAAUGUGUAAGGCGCUAUGAUCCCAGCAGGGGGCGCUAUCCUGGGAGAGUGGGACAAGGGUGGUGGUUGAUAUUCUGGUCACUCAUGAGGCUUUGGUGUUGCACAGGCUACUGGACCCUCUACAGGGUUCCAUUACAGACAUGGAAGUCAUGAGUGUGUGGAAGGCUACAGGUCAGCCAUCUCCCAGGAUGGUCUGACUGUGAGCAAUAAGACCCCAGCUGAUUCUGAAUGAUGAAGUGUUGGGGAAAAAUUGGGCACAUAAAAGCCCCAAGUAUAUGUUCAGGUUCACAAAGCUGUGCAACACCAGCUGGGAGAGUGAAUUGUGGAUAGGGCCAAGGAGGGAGGAUUUGAGUCUCCCUCUAUUCUGGAUUGGGCAAAUAGUUGUGGGGCCCAGCAAAGCCUGUGAUGGGGGUAAUCUAGGAGCAUCACAUGACCCAGGCCUCAAAGCUGACUGGCUCGCUGAACAUGUCUUGUCCCAUCAAGGCCCUGUCUUGUCGUGGUGGCCUGCAAAUGUGUGUCUUGGUCUCACCUGACUGCACUGGCACACAGAACCAGUGUCCUCAGCUAGGCUGUGCACUGUGUAGUUAGGCGAAUUCCUCUGUAGGACUAGAGCCCUCCUCUUGCCGGGCUAUUGUACCAGGUGUGCAUACCCAUCUAGACUUGAAGAAGGGAACAUGGCCUAUGAAUGCAGGUCUGGGUUCCUCACUUUGCUGGAAUGGAUCACUGGCAAUGGCAGAUCAGCAAGGCCUGGGACUAUGGGAUUGUAUGGGGAGCUGAGGAGCUGAGGCAAUCACCUGUCUCUGCUUGGCUACCUGGGAGGAUGGCCCCAGCGUGGCCUAUGAGCAUGCACCAGUGUGAGAGGAUAAAGUUCUAGAACACUCCAUGGCUGGGCUGGUGUGCAGUCUGGGUGACCCCAGCACUCUCUGAGGAUCCUGACAGAGUAGUCUGACUGCUUCAUGUUAGGCAGUCACCAGGACAGGGUAUUUUUGCACAGGCAUUUUGAUGCCACAUGCCCAUGAAGAAUGGGCACAGUGUAAGUAGGGAAGGGAUAGGACCAGAAUACAUGUGGGAGGGACGAUGGGGGUGGAUGAAUAUCUGGGUCACUCAGGAGGCUUUGGUGUUACACAGGCUCAUGGACCCUUCACAGGCAUCCAUAGAGGAUGUGCAUGACAUGGGUGAGUGGAAAGCUGCAGACCAUCUCCCAGGAUGGUCUGACUGUGAGCACUAGGAUACCAGCUGAUUCUGAAUGAUCAAAUUUUGGGAAAUUGGGGACAGAGAGACCCAUCUAACAGGUCAGGUCCCCUUGGAACACCAUUUGGGCCAUGGAGUGAUGGACAGGGCCAAGCAGGGUGUGUGUGUGUCCCCCUCUGUUCUGGGUUGGGGAUAUAUAUAGUUGAGGGAACCAGCUAGGCCUGGGAAGCAGGGAUUGCAUGAGCAUGAUGGGACCCGGGCCUCAAAGCUUGGUGGCCUGAUGCACAAUUGUGAUAGCCCAGCAAGGCCCCGCACGUUGGUGGCGGUGGCUUGCAAAUGUGUGUCUUGGUCUCACCUGGAUGGACUGGCACAAAGAACCUGUGUCCCCAUCUUUUCCAUUCACUGUGGAGUAUGAAAAAUGCAUCUCGGGGACUAGAGCUCUCUACUUGCUGGUCCAGAGCAGGUGGUGUGCAUAUCCAUCUAGACCUGGGAGAAUGGGAUCAUGGCCUGUGAGGGAGCUUUAGUUCCUCAUUUUGUGAGAAUGGACCACAGUCUGUGGAAAACUGGUGAAGCCUGGCAUUGUGUUUGUAGUAUGAGCUGAGUAUCUGAGGCACGCACAGGUCUCUGCUAUGAACCUCAGGAAUGUCUCCAAGUAUGCCCUUUGAACACGUGUUAUUUUGUGAGUAUAAAUUUCUAGAACCCUCCAUAUCUACCUGGUGUAUAGUCUAAAUGACUCCACCAGUUUAGUAUUAUUCAGGCAUUCAUCGACGACCUGAUCUGAUUGUAAGCUCUAAUAUUUCUAGCUGAAUCUGAAAGAUCGAGUAUGGGGUUUCAUGAGACAUAAGAUCACCAACUCUCUGGCCAGGUCUGAAAUCUCUGCAAGUCCAACUCACCCAGUUAAUGAUGGGCAAGGCCAAGGAUGUUGUCACCCUCUCUUCUUGUUUGGGGAAUUUUUGUGGAACCUAUCAUAGCCUAUAAGGGGUGACUCCAUGAGUAUGAAGAAAACCAAGUUUCUAUGUUUGUUUGUUAGAUGCCCAUUUUGUGGCACCUCUCAAUCACUGAACUGUAGAUUGCCUCCAAAUAUCUCUCUUGCUCUCCAUGUUAGACAGGCACACAUGUAUGUCCUCUGUAAGGCUCUCCCUUUUGAAGUUAAGCAGACAUCUGUGGGACUAGAGAUCUCCCCUUGUUGGUCUAGUUCACAAGGUGUGCAUAUCCAUAGACCUGGGAGAAUGGGAACAUGGCCUAUGAUGACAGCCCCAGUUUCUUUGCUUUGCUGGAAGGGAGCACAGGAUGUAGGUAUCCAAGUAGGCUGUGAGUGUGGGUUUGCAUGAGGAGUUGAGUAUCUGUUCCACUGACCUCUCUGGGCUGGUAUACCUCAAGCAUGACCUGAGCUCGUCCUCAUAAUAUGGAAAAAUAUCCUCUGAGGUCAUGUAAUGAAGAUUACUCUGUGCUGGGUUGAUCUGAAUCUGUGGGACCUCAGCUAGUGUUGUGAUUGCAGGAUUUCAUGAGAAUUUGAUAUCUGGGGAACUCAGCAUGUUGGGCUGUUGCAUAUGCAUCAUGUUGUUAGCUGUGCCUAAGAAGGUGGAGAUACUUAGUUUUGAUGCAGUCAUGAGACACUCAAUAAAGGUGGGCUGGUUUGUGGCUGCAUGAUUCUAACCUUCUCUGCAAACUUGUAGAAAGCCAAGUUGUGGUGCUUUUUAGUUAGUUACCAGGAUGUGAUGUUGCACAAGUAUGGAGACCCAGACCAGGAGUAUGACCAUCUUGUUGGAAAGCAUGAUACUAGAUCAGUCUCAUUGAUUUGUCUAGUGUGCAGAGUGCAAGAUACCAGUUAAUAAUAGGUGUGUAAGGACCGGGAAGUUUCACAUGAAUUUGUUUCUCAGUCUGCUGUGGUAGCAUGUUGAUUGCUACGUUAUCUAUUCCUGGGAAUAUGAAGGGCAGUGGGCAUGCUGGGUUCAGGAGUACUUACCUGGCUCAUCUGGUUGGCAAGCUGUGAGAACCAGAGUAGGCCUGGGAUUUUUAGGCCAAACAGGUGGGUGAAUGUCUGGGUCACUCUUCAGGCUGGGCAGGUGUUAGGUAGUGUGUGGCCCAUACUGAGACUUGGUAUAUGUGGCCAGUUGUGGUAGCUGGUUAUUUGGGGUCCAUCACUAGGUCUUUUUUGUUGGUUAGCAUUUGCUUGGUUUCUAUGAAGUUAUUUUUCAAGUAUCUGCCAGGUAGUUUCUAGGUUUUUCCCCCUUGAUAUUCCCGUGUAGGAGUAGAAUUUUUCUAGUUGUUCCAGCUUUGUGUUUUUUUCAACUAUAAAUUCUUGACCAAUGGAUGUCUUUCAUGUACAUGUUCUUCUCUGCAUUGUCUGGUCUAACAAUGAAAGACAGAUUUCAGCUGUGUGUCUUUGCUAUCACAAAGUUUCCUUGGACACAAUGAUUACCUGUUUGGUGUUUAAUGGUUCCUAUGCCAUAUCUUUCAUAGACAUUGCUGUUCGGAUCUCCAUGACCUUUCCAUCACUUUUUAACUCUAUUUUUGAAGAAAAAGCUUUCCAUGUAAUGUUUUCCACAUUAGGAGCUGUAUUAAUCUGCAUUUUUCUAUUCCAGCUCUUUCUGCUUUGACCAUUAAAAAGUGUUCCAUAUCCAGUUUUUAUCUAGUUACCUAUGUUCUGGCCAGGAAGUAAACCUUUAAACUCAGCUACUUCCAAAGAGGUCACAUCAUAUAGGUUUCAAAGGAAGUUUACCAUUUCUGUAUCUUCACCAUUAUUAUUUAUUCUAAUCUGGGAGGAAUAUUGUAUUUAUAUGUUUUUCAUAGCUGGAUUUGUUUUAGCCAUGUAGCAGUCUUCAAUAUCUAUGUCUUCUCAAGUUAUAGAUGCCUUCAAAUCAUAAUAUCUACUCUAUAUUCUUGUCUUUCCCAGAUAUACUUCUUUGAGAGCUACCGAAAUCCUCAAUUUCCACAUCUUUCAAAGCCAUAAUUUUUUACUGAGUGUUCCCCCACCACAGCAAUAACUGUUUAGUGAUGAAAAAUAGCUACCAUUUUCCUAUCUGUGUCAUGAAAUAUAUUCUGCAUGCUACAUUUUCUACCAUAGACAAUAUUAUUAGGAAAUAAGCCUUCUAUCACAUCUUUACUAACCACAGAUACUUGGUGCAUUGAAGAAGUUUUUCAUAUCAAUUACUCAAAAUGAGUACCCAUAAAAGAGAUAGAAUUCAGUUCUCAGUCUUGCAUAAUCAUUAAAGUUUUUAUUUGCAAAGAGAACAUCUAGUAUGACUUAUUUACUCAUAAGGGUGUUUAAAAUCAUGUUAUAAUUUUCCAUGCCUAUAUGUUUCUAACUCACAAAUACUCUGGCAAUAGAGUUCUCUGCAGUCACAUACUUCCUGUUGCUGCUUUAGUAUUGGAAUAAGUCAUCUAUCACUAUAUCUUUCCCUAGAUAUAGAUGCUGUUGACAAGAAAGUGAUGCUCAACUUCUAUGCCAUCUCAUUCAGUGCAGGGUUGUAGCUGUGAAAUGCCUUCCAAAUCCACUCCAUCAUGAGCUAAAGUUGCCCGGUAAUGCAAGAAGUUUUCCAUUACCAUAUCUUCCCAAUCCACAUCUACCCUGCUUAAGGAAAUUUUCCUGCUUCUCCUCUUCCAUAGACUCAACAAAGUUGGUCAGAAAAAAAAAGUUUCACCUCUGGCCAAGAAAUAAGUCCUUCACCUUCAUGCUUUCCCCAGGUGCAUCUACUUUGAUAAUGGAAGAAGCCAUUCCUUGCUCAUGCCUUUCAAAGUCUCUCUGCUCUGGUUAUGAGCUUGACCUUUAAAUGCUAUAUGUCAGAGCUCCUUCCAUAAAAAAAUAUACCUUCUUGUUUUCUCCAAACUAUAGCUGCCUUUGUUACAGAAUUUAUUUAUUUAUUUAUUUAUUUAUUUAAUUAUUUAUUUUUUUUUUUUUUUUUGCUAUCAUGGCUUCUCAAGUCAUGGCAGCUUUGAUCAUGAGAGCAGACUUGCCACAGAACAUUCCUUGCUAACCCCAUUCCUGUCAAGAUAUAUCUAUUUUUGUCACAUUAUAAUUUGUGUUUCCUGAACUUCUGCAUCCAUAACUACUUUGACAAGUAAACAAUGUGCCUAAAGCUAGGAUUUCUCCUGCUACAUUUGCUGUUAAUGUGAAUGAAAUCUGUUUUGGUGACCACAGGAAGUUUCCUCAUUCCUCUGUGGCCAUUUCUGCUCUGACCACUGAAGAUUUUUCUGGUUGUGUAUGGCCAUGUUUGUAUUGAGAUAUUAUCUCAUCGGUCAGGAUGAUUUUUUUUUAAAGAUAUAUCUAUUUAUUUAUGUAUACAGCAUAUGUGAUUGCAGGCCAGAAGAGGGCACCAGAUCUCAUUACAGGUGUUUGUGAGCCACCAUGUGGUUGCUGGGAAUUGAACUCAGGACCUCUGGAAGAGCAGUCAGUGCUCUUAACCUCUGAGCCAUCUCUCCAGUCCUGAGUCAGGAUGAUCUUGAACUCAUGAUUUUCCUACAGUUCAAGCUAGCAAUUCUUUGAUAUGUAUAUCUGAGCUUUACAACAUCCACAUAGUAAACACAACUCUACAGCAAGAUGAAUUAAUAGAUGUAUUAUCUUAUAUACCUGUUUUUUUGUGACAAAAGCAGCUAAAAUCCACUUAUUUAGUAAAAACCCUAAAUACAAUAUGGUCUUAUUAACUAUAGUACUCAUGCUGCCAUACAUUGUCUUUAUAUUUGCUUCUCCUACACAUCUGCUACUUCAGGAUUCCUUUAGAACAGUUGUCUCCACUUCAGCACAGUGAAGGUUCCCUUGCAGAGCAAGUGCGAGUCCAUCCUGCUACCUCCUACAUUUCUAGUUUCACUCAAGUCUUGACAGUAUGCAGAGAAACAUAUAAAGAAUAUGCUAAUUGGUACAAAGUUCUAGGCAAGGACAGCCAAGUAGAUGAGCCCAGUUUGUUCUCUUCUGUACAGUUUUGCAUUCUUAUCUAUGCCUAUUUCUAUGGAUGUAUUCCAUUUUCAUGCUAUAUGUUUUGGGUUUUUACUCUGUAUCCUGUAUCUGUAUCCAACUUGAGAAGGAGACUGCAAGUGUAGCAUGGAGAACACACUGUACUUAUGAAGACAAUGGACAAUUCAGGAACUAUUUUCUAAAAGGUGAAUAGAUCUCAGAAGCAAUCAUUGAAACCCUCCCUAAACCAUCAGGAAUUCAUUAGAGUACAGUGAGGCUUUCUAUGGGCAAAGCCAAUGUCUACCUAAGAGAGAGGAUCUGGGGAUGUCUGUCUGUCUCAACUCAGCCCUUUCAUCAGACCAAACAUACCAAGAAAACUUAGCCUUGUAACUUGUAAAAAGUCACCUAUGGGUAAAAUACUGUUUUCAUAUGAAUACCAUGAGUACUGGGCUUGGUAGUAUACUCAUGUAAUCCUGGCAUUAAAAAGACCAAAGCAAUAGGAUUACAGCUCAGUCUGGGUUGUAUAAGAACCUGUCUAAAAAUGGCUAAUACAUAUUACUUUUACUCAUACUCGCUCUUCUUUCUUUGAAAUAUCCCUGUGUCUCUGAACUCCAUUUGGCUCAACAUCCUGUCUUCUUAUACUCAACUGAGGAACACCUUUGGACAUUUGUAUCUGGAUUUCCUUCAGGCUUGGUGUUUGGUAUUUCUUAUGUAGACCUCCACACCAUAAUUACAGGUGUUUUUAAACAGAAAUGCCACCCAUUAGCUCUGUCAAGAGGAACAGCUAGUCAACAUGCCACCACAUUCCAAAAACUUGCCUAGGAACUGGCCACAAGCUGAAGUCCCAAGAUCAUCUGGACAUGAAGAAUCACUUCAUAUUUCCAUAAAUGCUAGUUUGGCUGUGCUUGUAAUCCAUGGUACUUGGGAGACUGAGGUGGGAGAACUACUUGAGUUAAAGAACUGAGUUGACCAUCCUGAACAACAUAGUAUGACCCCAUCUCAAAUCAAAACCAACCAAACACCAGAAAAGAAAUUCAUUGACUUUCUAGUGAACUUGCUGAGGAAAAGGAUUGUAUUGCUAAAUGUUAAGGGAUAAUGUUAUUAAUAUUUUAUAUUGAUGGUAUUUUAUUAUUUAAGCCACAAAAAUACUCAUUCUGAAUAACACACAUUCUUGAGUGAACUUUUGGAAUGGGUGAGAUACUUAUAUGUACACAUGUGAUGAGAUAGUAUUUGUGGAGUUUUAGACCGAUAUUGUUGUUCAUAGUAUACUGAUGGUACACUGUAUAUCUUUUUCAUUGAUUUGGAUAAGAUUGGUGGAUUGGAAUUUACAAGUAAGAUGGUGGUUUAAAAGCUCCAUCUGAGUCAGUGGAUAAAAAUGUUAUGAUAAAAACAUAAUAGAUCCUAUUUAUAUACAAGAAAAACUAAAAAAAUAAAAAGCCGAAGUCUGAAUUUCUCUACAAUGAAGGAGCCAGGUCCACCAGAAAUCAGUUGUGGUACUACUGCCAGCCUUGUGUUCUCAUAGGUGACACCAUGAAAGCCCAGGAGAAAAGGCCUGGGCUGUGUAAACACAACCGGGUGGAUAAAAAUUCCAUAUAUAGAACAAGUUGUGAGUAGUAGAAAUGUGGUUUGAAAACCUAAAGAUCACUACACAUUAAUAAAGGGAUAAUUCGUCAAGAAGAUUAGAAUAUUAUUAACAUUUACACACCAAAUAUCAGGUACAAUCAGCAGGAAAUUUCAAAACUCUAAUCUGUAGACACAUACUUCAAACUAAAAAUCAACAAAGAAACAGUUUAAGUAAAUAACACCAGAAAGAAAUUGCAUUUAACAGAUACAAAGUAUUCUAUCCAACUAAUAGGGAAUGCACAUUAUUCUCAGCAGCAAAUAAGGCUCUCUUUAAAACUACGCACAUUAUAGGAUACAAAGCAAAAAUCGAAUUACUUAUAUUUUAUCAGAUAACAGUAGAAUAAAAGCAGCUACACAAGUACUUAGUACUGAGCAAUACAUUUUUGAAUGAACAGUGGAUCAUUGAGGAAAUCGAGGAAAGUUUUUGAAAUCCUAAAAACAAAUGAAAAUUAUGAUAUAACCUACCAAAACUUAUGGGAUACAAAAAGACAUUCAUAAGAGGAAAGAUUAUAGCUCUAAGUGCUUACAUUUGAAAAAAAUCAAUGAGAUCACUUAUGUUAAAAAAAUUAAUGAGAUCACAAAUAAAUAACCUAAUUAUAUACCUCAAGGUUCUAGAAAAACAACAAGUCAAACUCAGAUGGAUGAUAUGAAUGUCAAGAAGUAGACACGAAUAAUAUAGUCAAUCAAACAGAAAGUUAGUUAUUUGAAAAGAGAAAGAUCAAAAAUCUAAAGAAAAAUAGAUAUCUAAAUAAGAAAAAUUAGAGGUGAAAAAUAAGCUCUUACAGCAGACUCUAAUAAAAUCCAGAGGGACAUUAAGGAAUACUUUGAAUCCUCAUUCUAAAAAGCUAGAAAACUGGGGCUAGAUAUGUAGCUCAGUGGAAAAGUGCUCCUGGCAUGUUCAAAGUCCUAGAUUUGAUUCCUAGCACUGUUGAUAAAACCAAAAUGUUAGAAAACUUAAAAGAAAUGGAUAUACUUUUUAAAAAUUCUACAGAGAUUUAUUUUAAAACAAUUUUUUAGUAUGCAUGCAACUUUACCAUUUAGUAAAGAUGAAAGGAAAUCUGCAAACUAAUGAGAUAGACAUGUUUAUUUUUAUAUAAGGAAUUAAAUCUUGAAGCAGGUGUGGCACACCCAGUACUUGGGAGGUAGAGGCAAGAGGAUCAAGAGUUCAAGGCCACCCUCAACUACAGAGCAAGUGUGAAGCUGGCCUGGGCUACAGGAGACAUUGUCUCAACUUCUCCCACAUGCCCCUAAAGGGUACUAAAUCUGAGCUGUUUGGUAUCACACAAUAUCCAAUGUUUUUCAGAGUUUAUUGAUGUUUAAAUUGCCUAUCUGUCAAUGCUAAGAAUGCCGUUUUACAGAUAGUACAAAAUGGCAGAAACAUGUUUAUGGCCAUUUCAGACACUGUUGGAAAUUCUAUCUUAACCUCAAGCCAAAAAAAAUUCAUUUAAUGGUUUCUUUUUAAAAUGAAACUCAAGCUACCAACUCAAACAAAUUUUCAAAAGAAAUGGACAUAUUUUUAACCCAUGUAAGCUGCUAACAUGAAUUCAAGGAGAUACAAAUAACUACAAGAGAUGCAAAAUAAGCAAUGAUAUUGAAGUUUUCCUACAUAGAAAAGUCAAGGGCUGGAUGGAUUCACUAUUGAAUCCUAACAAAUAUUUGAGGAAGUCUAGCAUCAGCACUUCUUAAAUAUUUUCAUAAAAAAGAAAUAGAGAGGACACCAUUAAACUUAUUCUGUGAAGCUGUUACUAUCGUGAUACCACAUUUCCCUGGUGAACAGAUAUACAAAUUCUCAAAUUCUUAUUUUGGUAAUUACCAGGGUCAUUGUCUUAGUCAGUCUUCUAUGUCUGUGAAGAGACACCAUGACUGUAGCAACUCUUCUAAAUGCAAGCACUUAACUGGGGCUUACUUACAGUUUCAGAAGUUUAGUCAAGAAUUAUCUUGGCAAGAAGCAUGUGGCAUGGCAGCAUGCAGGCAGACAUGGUGCUGAAGAGGAGCUGAGAGUUUUACAUCUAGAUCUGAAAG